GUCUACGGCCAUGCCACCCUGAACAUGCCCGAUCUGUCUGACCUCAGAAGCUAAGCAGGGUCAGGCCUGGUUAGUACUUAGAUGGGAGACCACCUAGGAAUACCAGGUGCUGUAGGCA
This 118-nucleotide ribosomal RNA is filed under the name Pteropus alecto (black flying fox). Lineage: Eukaryota; Metazoa; Chordata; Mammalia; Chiroptera; Pteropodidae. The record is from RNAcentral.